GACCGGCUACUGCAUGGGGGCGCGGCUGUCGCUGCUGACGGCCGGGACCUACCCCGAGCGGGUCGCGGCCGCGGCCGGCUUCCA
This 84-nucleotide transfer RNA is filed under the name Streptomyces coeruleorubidus. Its description in RNAcentral is "tRNA-Ser". Lineage: Bacteria; Bacillati; Actinomycetota; Actinomycetes; Kitasatosporales; Streptomycetaceae. The record is from RNAcentral.